Long non-coding RNA from Megalobrama amblycephala (Wuchang bream), 701 nucleotides. RefSeq lists it as uncharacterized. The transcript is spliced from 3 exons. NCBI's taxonomy places the organism in Eukaryota, Metazoa, Chordata, Actinopteri, Cypriniformes, Xenocyprididae. The record is from RefSeq and is a predicted model, not a curated record.
GGAGGGUGCCAGCACUUCCAAUGAAUACCGGCUCUUUAAUCACAGCAAGGAAAUGAGACAUACUGAGUAUGCCUGUCUGAUGCGGUGCUGACUCCUGCCUCGACUCUAAGAGAAAAAAAAAAGAGAGAACAACAGGUAAUACCUGAUAUCCCUGAAUGAUCCCAUUGUGAGCGUCAUGAGGCGGAGGAUCCCAGCUGAGGUGCACUGUGUCAUUACGGUCAGUGGGCAUUGUUAUGGACACAUCCUGAGGUGGUGCGCUGGGAACUGAGAACAGGGCAUGUGGUUACAUUUGGCACAAGGUCCUGCUCCAAUCCAGUGGAAUGCAGAGUAAACGGGCCUGCUGAGGAAUCUGUUUGGGCUACAAACACAGCAUGCUGUCACAGCUCAAUUAGUGCUCUGUUUGUUUCGGGCAGGAAAGCAAACUUUGACAUCUGAUCUCCAGUAAUCUCAUGGACCAUCUUAAUAAGCUUCCUCACUCUCUUGUUCCUUCAGAGCAUUUAAGUAGGUCUUGAUGGGUCAUUCAUUGUUAUUGGGGUCAAACAAGUGAAUUUAUGUGGGAACUGACCAUUUGAGAUAGUUUUUUUGGACCCCAUUGACUUAUUCAGUGUUGGAGAAUGUUACUUUUAAAAGUAAUGCAUUACAAUAUUGUGAUACUCCCUAAAAAGUAACUAAUUGCAUUACUUAGUUGCUUUUUAUGAAAA